GACAGAGGUGCCAAGCGUUAGGCGGAAUCACUGGGCUUAAAGCGUGUGUAGGCGGGUCGUUAAGUACCUUGUGAAAUCCCACGGCUCAACCGUGGAACGGCUGGGUAUACUGCCUGUCUUGAGCCAGCUAGGGGCGAGCGGAACAGACGGUGGAGCGGUGAAAUGCGUAGAUAUCGUCUGGAACGCCGAAGGUGAAAACAGCUCGCUGGGGCUGUGCUGACGCUGAGACACGAAAGCCAGGGGAGCGAACGGG
RNAcentral lists this ribosomal RNA (253 nucleotides) under uncultured bacterium. RNAcentral describes it as "partial 16S ribosomal RNA". It matches the Rfam family "Bacterial small subunit ribosomal RNA", at positions 524 to 776 of the family's 1533-position model. The record is from RNAcentral.